This 72-nucleotide transfer RNA is filed under the name Camelus bactrianus (Bactrian camel). It matches the Rfam family "tRNA". Rfam says of the family: Transfer RNA (tRNA) molecules are approximately 80 nucleotides in length. RNAcentral also lists the same sequence under 2 other names. The record is from Rfam by way of RNAcentral. Lineage: Eukaryota; Metazoa; Chordata; Mammalia; Artiodactyla; Camelidae.
UGGGGUGGAGCUCAGUGGCAGAGUGUGUGCUUGGCAUGCUCGAGGUCCUGGGUUCAAUCCCCAGUACCUCUG